RNAcentral lists this ribosomal RNA (305 nucleotides) under uncultured bacterium. RNAcentral describes it as "bacterial SSU rRNA". It matches the Rfam family "Bacterial small subunit ribosomal RNA", at positions 338 to 635 of the family's 1533-position model. The record is from RNAcentral.
CCUACGGGGCGCAGCAGUAGGGAAUCUUCCACAAUGGACGAAAGCCUGAUGGAGCAACGCCGCGUGAGUGAAGAAGGGCUUCGGCUCGUAAAACCCUGUUGGUAGAGAAGAAAGAUCGUGGGAGUAACUGGUCACGUUUCGACGGUAUCUAACCAGAAAGCCACGGCUAACUACGUGCCAGCAGCCGCGGUAAUACGUAGGUGGCAAGCGUUAUCCGGAUUUAUUGGGCGUAAAGGGAACGCAGACGGUCUUUUAAGUCUGAUGUGAAAGCCUGCGGCUUAACCGCCGGAGUGCAUUGGAAACUG